This is a long non-coding RNA of Anguilla anguilla (European eel), 293 nucleotides long. RefSeq lists it as uncharacterized. The transcript is spliced from 3 exons. Lineage: Eukaryota; Metazoa; Chordata; Actinopteri; Anguilliformes; Anguillidae. The record is from RefSeq and is a predicted model, not a curated record.
CAAGAUUGCACAUCAACCCCUGUAAGCAUGGCGAACUGGGACCACUGUCAUGAACUCAGCUAAUGGGUCAUAAAAAAGAUCUGAAAAACACGGAGCAAGCCUGAUGAAGGAACACCAAGCACGCUUCCUUGUCUUUCUGAAUUCCUCGUCUGAUGCCAAGGUUUGUUCACAAAGAGAUGAUAAACAACUGGACUUUUUAAGACUGCAUGGAUAACUAUCUGCAUUAGCAAUGCUAUGCGGUGACCAGAAGGAUCUCAGAAUAACCAUUGCUCCAAAACAUACAGGUCAGUACA